RNAcentral lists this ribosomal RNA (406 nucleotides) under uncultured bacterium. RNAcentral describes it as "partial 16S ribosomal RNA". It matches the Rfam family "Bacterial small subunit ribosomal RNA", at positions 30 to 526 of the family's 1533-position model. The record is from RNAcentral.
AUUGAACGCUGGCGGCAGGCCUAACACAUGCAAGUCGAACGAGUGGCGGACGGGUGAGUACUGUCUGGGAAACUGCCCGAUGGAGGGGGAUAACUACUGGAAACGGUAGCUAAUCCCGCAUAUCAUCGGCUGUGCCCAGAUGGGUUUAGCUAGUAGGUGGGGUAACGGCUCACCUAGGCGAUGAUCCCUAGCUGGUCUGAGAGGUUGACCAGCCACACUGGAACUGAGACACGGUCCAGACACCUACGGGAGGCAGCAGUGGGGAAUAUUGCACAAUGGACGCAAGCCUGAUGCAGCCAGGCCGCGUGUAUGAAGAAAGCCUUCGGGUUGUAAAGUACUUUCAGCGAGGAGGCGUUACUCGCAGAAGAAGCACCGGCUAACUCCGUGCCAGCAGCCGCGGUAAUAC